AGUUGAUGUAAUUACCAAAGCCCCCAAAGAAAAGGCAAGGAGAUUCAGAAUGGGUGUCCAUGGAGAGGAUUCUGGGAAGGAGGCACCAUAAAAAGCUUCAGGAAUCUGCCUCUGCCUGGCCAGCAAUGGCCCUGGCUCUGUCUGUCAUUAUUUUAGAACACUGGUGUAAUUAUUUUAGAACACUGGCAUGUUGUGAAGGUUUACAACUUUCUAUGGAAGGCUUGGGGAGUAAACUGCACUUAAUUUGGGUCAUUUUCAGCUCUGAGCACAAUAAUAGCUAACCAUUCCUCAAGUGUAGCCCCCUGGCAGGCAGCUGUACAGGUUCCUGAAACAACCUGCAUACACGCUGAAGAAACACAGUGGGCGAAAAUAAACCCUGUCUUCCAACAGCUGUGCUCAGCACUGACCAUUGCUCUGAACACAGGAGGUGCAGGCAGAGACAGGUGGGCAUUGCUUUCACAUUUUCCUUCACUGUUGUCCAAGCUGGUGUGAUUUCCAAUGUAUUCAAAGGGUCGGUACCUUUCUUCCCUCUCCAUUUUUUUUUUUUUUGAUAUUUACCUUUGGGGAACUGUACAUUAAAAAAUGGUACAUUCAAAGCACAUCCAGGGAAAAUUAGAAUGUGACCGUAUGUGCUGCAGAGUCAGAGAGACCUGAAAAGACCCUUGUCACAGACAUAGUCUACAACAGUGAAACACAAAACUUAGGGGAAACCAUGUAAAACAAACGAAACAAACAGAAAAAAGAAAGACCUAGGGAAGAGAGAAUGAAGCAAUGUACCCAGAAAAAAAAAAAACUACAUAGUUAAUCUACCAAAUGCUUUAAAACAAAUUUCUGAAAGAACUACCACAAGAAGAUGUGAUGGAAGGGAAGGAAGGAAGGAAGGACUAAAAAAUAGAAACAUUCAAUACACAGGUGCUGGGGAGAUGGCUGGGUCAGUAACGUACCGGCCACACAAGCAUGGUACCCACAUUAAUUUUUUUUUUUUUAGGCCAAUGACUAGGAUUCUCAUCUGCUAGCUCAGUCUUAAUUAUCAUAAAUCUAUAUAUGUUAUAAGACUUAUCAGACGCCUUAUUGGUGUCCCUCCUUGCUGGUAGAUCACAUUGUGCCCGCUGGAGCAGGAGCGGAGGGGAAAGAGCCACAUUAAAUUUUUUUAAGCCAAAAAAGUUGGCAUUUGUAAUCCCAGCAUGACUGAAGUCUCAUUAAGGAAAACUGUUUCUGACAAACUAUCAAAAGAAUGGAAUCUAUGUCUUCUGGUUGGGACUGCCAAUCACCUGGCCAAAGGACUACCCCUCUGGAAGGGCUGGUUCACCUUAAACCAUGCUAAAGAGAUAGGAGGAGGAAUUAUCCCUUUAAUGAGAUAAUGGACUCUUCCUUCCCAGAAUUCCUGCCCCCUAGUGCAGUGCGUAUAAGCCUCCAGAAAGUCAUGACUUUUUCGCUUUCUACUCUUCUGUCUUCUGGGUGCUGGCUAGAGCCUAAGUACACUUUUCCCAGUAGCUGGACAUGUUUUUACUCUUCCUCUGAAACUAACCUUCUCAUCAUACGGCUGACCUCCAUGCCAGCCUACUUCAAACAGCGUGCCUCUCUCUCCCUCCUAAGUGCCCACCUAUGAAUCUAUAAGAAAUAUCUCUCUAAAACUCACCCUCUGCGUUCCAUGAAUUUCAUUUCUCAAAUUAAACAAACAAAACCCUGAAAGUCACUGGCUCAAGAGUCAGUCCUUGGAGGCCCCUUGAGUCUUCUGGAACCCAGGAUCCAAGCUGAGAAAGGCAGAUCAGAGACAUCAAGAGGAAGAGAAUGAAAAAGGACUGAAGGAAAACUAUCGGAGCCUAACAGACCCAUGGAACACCAUAAGCAGACUAGCAUGGACACACGGGAUUCUAAUAGAAGAGAAACAGAACAUCAGACAGAGGACAUUAGAAGAAAUAAUGGCUAAAAUUUUCCAAAUUUGGUAAAAGUCACAAAUACGUAUGUGUAGUUAACUCAAUGAAUUCCAAGGGAAGAAAUUCAGAGACCCACACUAAGAAACAUUGUGAUCCAAUUCUAGAGAACCAAGGGCAAAUGCUAACUAAACUUCAGGGCAGCAAGAGAGAAGUGGUUCACACAUGAGGGUCCCAGAGGAUCAGAGCAUUCAUGGCUUCUCACCAAAGGACAGCCAGGAUAGGGCAGCCAGGAUAGGCAAAGUGCCAAAAGGAACAACUGUCAGCUGAGAAUCCUGCAUGUGGACAAACUGUCCCUCUAAAGUGAGAACGACAUGAAAACAUUUCCAGAUCAAUAGAUGCUGAAAGUUGCUGUCACCACCAGGACCUACCUCAUAGAAAACACUCAAAGAAGGCCUGCGGAGUAAAAGAAAAGGUGUGAAGCACACAAUGAAGUGCCGGAGAUUGAGCUCAGGGCUUUGUACCUGCUGAGGAAGUGCUCUUGCCACCAUUGGCCUACAUCCCACAUCCACUGAACAGCAGCACUUCUGGAAAAUAAACAAUUAUUAGACAGGAUAUGGUGGUUCAGGGAGGAUCACCACAAGCCACCCUGGACUACAAGGGAGUCAGCGUGGUGAUACUUUGUUUAUGAUCUAACAAAUAAAACUUGCCUGAAGAUCAGACAGCAAAGCUAGCCACACUGGUUAGCCAUAGAGGCCAGGAAGUGGUGGUACACACCUCUAAACCCAGCACUAGAGAGGACUAUAAGGCGGGAGGAGACAGGAGCUCAGUGCAGUCUGAGGUUUGGUGGAGCCAGAUGCAGUCUGGAGAUGCAGUCUGAGGACAGUGAUUAGACAUAACGCUCACUCCACAUAUGGAACUCAUACCCAACACUGCUUGGGUGACUAAGAACCAGAAAUUAGAUAGCUCAGAGACCUAGGGUAAGACCAAAUACCACUGUUCUAAAAAUAAAUAAAUAAAUAAAUAAAUAAAUAAAUAAAUAAAUAAAUAAAUAAAUAAAUGACUGCUAAUGAUAUUCUGCUAUACUCAUAGAUCAGUUUCAUGUUCAGCCACUAUCAGAGAAAUUUCCUCCUGAAGCAGAUGUGAACAGAUACAGAGACCCUCAGCAAGACAUUACCGAGUGAGAGACCUUGGGGUACUAAAACCUAAAGAGGAUGUCUCCAUCAAAUCCUUUCCCUCAGAGCUCAGGGAACCCCGCAGUAGAGGAGGUGGAAAGAGAAUAAGAGUCAGAAGGGAUGGAGGCACCAAGAAAACAAGGCUCUCUAAACCAACAUGAGCAAAUACCCUAUGAAUUCAGAGAGACUGAGGCGGUGUGUGCAGAGCCUGCGCAGGUCUGCACCUGGUCCUCGGUGCAGACAUUUCGUGUUUUUAUGGGACUCCCGAGUUUGCAAACAAGUGGGUCUCUGAUUCUUAUGUCUGCUCUUAGCCCCUUCUCCUCCUGUUUUGUCUUGUCCAACUUCCAUGUGAUAGUUUUUCUUUUAUCUUAUUGCAUUUUAGAUUGUUAUUUUUUAAGCGAAUGAGUGAAAACUAGGGUAAAUGCUAACAGCUGAACUUCUGGAGACAAAAUCAAUUUUCUCCAAUAGAGUGGCGCUGGGUACAGCAAUCACUCCAGGACAGGCCUAUACUCAGAAGUACUUGGCCGACAUAUAAUAGAUUUCACAGUUUUGUGAGUGUGCUUUUAUUUGGUUACCAUUUGGUGAGAUUCUUUUUCUGUUUGAGUUUUGUUUUACUUUGUUUUCUUGGUUUGGGGGGAUUUUUUGCUGUAUUGGGGUGCUUUUGUUGGGUGCAUAGGGUUGAGGAGGGGAUCUGAAAGGACAUGAGGGAAGG
RNAcentral lists this long non-coding RNA (3761 nucleotides) under Cricetulus griseus (Chinese hamster). RNAcentral's name for it is "lncRNA (ENSCGRG00015041573.1)". Lineage: Eukaryota; Metazoa; Chordata; Mammalia; Rodentia; Cricetidae. The record is from RNAcentral.